Molecule: ribosomal RNA, 373 nt
Filed under: uncultured organism
Description: partial 16S ribosomal RNA
Rfam family: Bacterial small subunit ribosomal RNA
Source: RNAcentral
GUAGGUGGCAAGCGUUGUCCGGAAUUAUUGGGCGUAAAGCGCGCGCAGGCGGUUCUUUAAGUCUGAUGUGAAAGCCCACGGGCUCAACCGUGGAGGGUCAUUGGAAACUGGAGAACUUGAGUACAGAAGAGGAAAGCGGAAUUCCACGUGUAGCGGUGAAAUGCGUAGAGAUGUGGAGGAACACCAGUGGCGAAGGCGGCUUUCUGGUCUGUAACUAACACUGAGGCGCGAAAGCGUGGGGAGCAAACAGGAUUAGAUACCCUGGUAGUCCACGCCGUAAACGAUGAGUGCUAAGUGUUAGGGGGUUUCCGCCCCUUAGUGCUGCAGCUAACGCAUUAAGCACUCCGCCUGGGGAGUACGGCCGCAAAGGCUG